Molecule: ribosomal RNA, 3043 nt
Filed under: marine metagenome
Description: bacterial LSU rRNA
Rfam family: Bacterial large subunit ribosomal RNA
Source: RNAcentral
CCAAGCUAAUAAGAGCCAACGGUGAAUGCCUUGGCGCCAAGAACCGAUGAAGGACGUGAGUGACUGCGAAAAGCUCCGGGGAGCCGUCUACUAGGCAUUGAUCCGGAGAUGUCCGAAUGGGGAAACCCACCACUCGUUAUGGAGUGUGUACCGCUGCCUGAACACAUAGGGCGGUUGGAGGGAACCGGGGGAAUUGAAACAUCUCAGUACCCCGAGGAAAGGAAAGCAACCGCGACACCCUGAGUAGCGGCGAGCGAAAUGGGUUGAGUCUAAACCGUGCCAGUGUCAAGCCUGAAGGCGUUGCUGGUGCGGGGUCGUGGGACCACGAGAUAGAGCUUCAGAUCUGUCACAGGUUACAAGUGCUGCAUAGGAGAACUGAUCAGGAAAGUCAGGCCGUAGUGGGUAAUAGCCCCGUAUCCGAAAUGUGUGUACUACCUGCGUGUUAUCCCAAGUAAUGCCGGAACCGUGAAAGCCGGCAUGAAUCUGUGGGGACCACCCCAUAAGACUAAGUAUUCCUUGGCGACCGAUAGUGAACCAGUACCGUGAGGGAAAGGUGAAAAGUACCCCGGGAGGGGAGUGAAAUAGUACCUGAAACCGUUGGUUUACAAACAGUCAGAGUGUCGUCACCUUCGGGUGGCCACGAUGGCGUGCCUUUUGAAGAAUGAGCCUGCGAGUUACGGUAUGUGGCAAGGUUAACCAGAGAUGGGAAGCCGGAGCGAAAGCGAGUCUGAAUAGGGCGUUCAGUCGCAUGCUGUAGACCCGAAGCCGAGUGAUCUAGCCAUGGGCAGGUUGAAGCGGGGGUAAGACCCCGUGGAGGACCGAACACACGUCAGUUGAAAAUGGCGGUGAUGACCUGUGGUUAGGGGCGAAAGACCAAUCAAACUCGGCGAUAGCUGGUUCUCCUCGAAAUGCAUUUAGGUGCAGCGUCAUGCGUUCAGUACCGGAGGUAGAGCACUGGAUGGGUUAGGGGGCCUACAAGCUUACCGACCCCAGCCAAACUCCGAAUUACGGUACUCCAGAGCAUGGCAGUGAGACCACGGGGGAUGAGCUUCGUUGGUCGAAAGGGAAACAGCCCAGAUCAUCAGCUAAGGCCCCUAAUUCUGUACUAAGUGGAAAACGAUGUGAAAUUGCAUAGACAGCCAGGAGGUUGGCUUAGAAGCAGCCACCCUUAAAAGAGUGCGUAACAGCUCACUGGUCGAGUGGUCCUGCGCGGACAAUUUAACGGGGCUCAAGUCCUGAGCCGAAGCUAUGGAUUUCAACAUUUAUGUUGGAGUGGUAGAGGAGCGUUGAUGAUGCGACUGAAGCGACGGGAUAACCCGGCGUGGAGUGUCAUCAAGUGAGAAUGUAGGCAUGAGUAGCGAGAGAGGGGUGAGAAACCCCUCCGCCGUAAGCCCAAGGGUUCCUGGGGAAGGCUAAUCCUCCCAGGGUAAGUCGGGAGCUAAGACGAGGCCGCGAGGCGUAGUCGAUGCACAACUGGUUGAUAUUCCAGUACCUCCGUGCCCGCGCCAAGUCCAAUAGUUGCAACGUUGGGGCUGUUCAUCUUUAUGUUGAGCGAGCUGACCGAGCGGCUGGCGGAUAGUUGACGGGGGACGCAGGAAGAUAAGUGAGCCCAGGCGAUGGUAGUCCUGGGGUAAGCGUGUAGGCGGUUCCCGAUGAGAGUUGGGGACGUAACGCUGAGACGUGAUGCCGAACGACAUACUGUGAAGUCACUGAUUCUAUGCUGCCAAGAAAAGCCCAGCAAUGAGCUGGCACGGAGCCCGUACCCCAAACCGACACAGGUGGGCGGGUAGAGAAUACUAAGGCGAGCGGGAGAACUAUGGUUAAGGAACUCGGCAAAUUACCUCCGUAACUUCGGAAGAAGGAGGACCUGCUUUGGUGACGAGAUUUACUCUCCGAGCUGAGGUGGGUGGCACAGACCAGGGGGUAGCGACUGUUUACCAAAAACACAGCAGCGUGCGAAGCCGCAAGGCGCUGUAUACGCUGUGACGCCUGCCCAAUGCUGGAAGGUCACGAGGAUCGGUUAGUCGUAAGGCGAAGCUGUGAAUCUAAGCCCCAGUGAAUGGCGGCCGUAACUAUAACGGUCCUAAGGUAGCGAAAUUCCUUGUCGGGUAAGUUCCGACCUGCACGAAUGGCGUAACGACUUCCCCGCUGUCUCCAAUGUAGACUCAGCGAAAUUGAAUUGCCUGUUAAGAUGCAGGCUUCCCGCGGUUAGACGGAAAGACCCCGUGCACCUUUACUACAGCUUCACACUGGCAUUAGGUCAGACGUGUGCAGGAUAGGUGGUAGGCUUUGAAACUCGGACGCCAGUUCGGGUGGAGCCUCCCUUGAGAUACCACCCCUGUCUGUCUUGAUGUCUAACCGCGGUCCGUUAUCCGGAUCCGGGACCCUGUGUGGCGGGUAGUUUGACUGGGGCGGUCGCCUCCUAAAGCGUAACGGAGGCGCGCGAAGGUUGGCUCAGAGCGGUCGGAAAUCGCUCGUUGAGUGCAAUGGCAGAAGCCAGCCUGACUGCGAGACUGACAAGUCGAGCAGAGUCGAAAGACGGCCAUAGUGAUCCGGUGGUCCCGAGUGGAAGGGCCAUCGCUCAACGGAUAAAAGGUACGCCGGGGAUAACAGGCUGAUACUGCCCAAGAGUCCAUAUCGACGGCAGUGUUUGGCACCUCGAUGUCGGCUCAUCUCAUCCUGGGGCUGGAGCAGGUCCCAAGGGUACGGCUGUUCGCCGUUUAAAGAGGUACGUGAGCUGGGUUUAGAACGUCGUGAGACAGUUCGGUCCCUAUCUGCCGUGGGUGUAGGAUACUUGAGAGGAGUUGCCCCUAGUACGAGAGGACCGGGGUGAACGAUCCACUGGUGGACCAGUUGUCGACUACGGCAGUGCUGGGUAGCUAUGAUCGGACAGGAUAACCGCUGAAAGCAUCUAAGCGGGAAGCCCCCCUCAAAACAAGGUAUCCCUGAGGACCGAGGUAGACCACCUCGUCGAUAGGCCAGAGGUGUAAGCGUGGUAACACGUUCAGCUGACUGGUACUAAUGGUCCGAUAGGCUUGAUUUG